GCGAAUUGUCAACGAGAUCUGUUUGUGCUCCCCGGACGGGGGCAUGUGCACGCUUUGUUUACACAUCCACUCACACCUGUGCACCCUCCGUAGUUCUAUGGCCUGGGUGGGCUCUGCCCUCCUGGCGUGGCUCUAUGUCUUUACACACACACUACAAUGAAGUCUUAUGGAAUGUAUGUCGCGUUUAACGCAAUGAAAUAC
Molecule: unclassified non-coding RNA, 201 nt
Filed under: Thelephoraceae sp. 'Taylor #8'
Lineage: Eukaryota; Fungi; Basidiomycota; Agaricomycetes; Thelephorales; Thelephoraceae
Description: ITS1
Source: RNAcentral